Homo sapiens (human) is the source of this 2367-nucleotide long non-coding RNA. RefSeq lists it as uncharacterized. The record is from RefSeq and is a predicted model, not a curated record. NCBI's taxonomy places the organism in Eukaryota, Metazoa, Chordata, Mammalia, Primates, Hominidae. The transcript is spliced from 7 exons.
CAGUCUUGGGCAGUUCUUUACAGCAUUAUGAAAGGGGAUCAAUACAUAGGAUUAGACAAAGAUUUCUUUAAGGGAUAUUAAAAGCACAAACCACAAAAGAAAAAUAUUGGUAAAUUAGUUAUCAACACAAUUAAUAAUAGUUCUGUCAUUCUAAAGACAGUAUAAAGAAUGAAAAGGCAAACUUUACCAUACAUAUAUUUGACUCAAGUAUUAGUAUGCAGAACAUGUAAUGAAUUCCCCUCUCUCAAUAAUAUGAAGACAAAUACCAUAUUUAAAUCUUGGCAAAAGAUUUGUAUAGGUAUUUUUAAAAGAAGAUAUAUAAAGCCCAAUAAGCAUAUGAAAAGAUACCCAAUGUCAUUAAUUGGUCAUUAGAAAAAUGCAUAUUUAAACCUUAGUGAGAUGACACUAUACAUCCACUAGAAUGGUUAAAAUUAUAUAAACUGACAACACAAAAAUUUUGCUAGUACAUGGAGUGCCUGGAACUCGUAUAUUUUUAGUGGGAGUGCAAAACUGUGCAACACCUUUGGAAAACAGUUUGGUAGUUUUUGUAAUCUAGUUUUUAUAUAGUUAAACACUUACCAAAGGACUCAGCAAUUCCAUUCUUAGGUAUUUCACCAAAGGAAAUGAAAUCACAUGACCAUACAAAUAUUUGUACAACUUGGUCCUUAGAUAUAUAGGAUGAUGCAUUCUAAAUUCUGUUCUUAAUACCCUUUGUUGGUCAAGAAUUUUAAUUAGAUUUACUAUUCUUUUCCUUUCUUAAAGGACACACCCAGAGGAUCCCAUAGUCAUGGGCUUACUUUGGUACCUCCCUUACUGUGCAGUGGACAGAUGCUCUCCUGGUCUGAUCCUAUGCUGUGUGGUAUUUCAUGAUGGCAUAGAAAUGAAUCUCUUCUAUCAAGAUGAAAACUACAAACGACUGUUUCCAUGAAAGUGAGAAUAAAGAGUUAAUUCGAAGGUGAUGGGGAGGACAGAGGCUGUACUCCACGUGGUCAUUCAGGUAUUCAGGCUGAUGGAGGCUCUGUUAAAUUCACACCAUGGCUUCUAACAUUAUUCUGGAGGGAUUAAUUACAUGGUCAACAGCUGGAAUUUACAAGGAGGCAAAUUAAAUAAAAUAGCAGACAAGCAUGAACUGCAUUCCCACAAAAGCCAUAAAAUGGGAAUACCAAGAGAACUGGCAAAUGGCUGCCUUAGUAAAGUACAGAGGUGAAGUGGAGCAAGAUGGCAGAAUAGCAAGCUCCUUUGAUGGCCAUCCGCACAAAUGUCUACACAGAAAAAGCACCUUCACAAGAACCAAAAAUCAGCCUGUUUUGUGCAACUUCCAAGUCAAGAUUAUGAACAUUUUCAGACUUUUUGCAAGACAGAAUUCAAUGGAUUAACAAUCAGCCUUGACUUUGCUGGAGAACACAAAGGAUGUUGGAUACUUCUUGAAAGCAGUAAAAACAAUUUUGACAGAAAGAUAAGAAUAGUCUAAUUUAUAGUGAUAAGGAAAUCCUGGGCAUGAAGUCUACUGCUGCUGGUAAAGUUGGACUAACAGAGUUCAAUUAAAUCUCAUGCCUGAAGUAACUUAAAAACUGGAAAAAAUUUUAAGAAAAAAAUGGGUUUUAGGCAUUGGAAAUAUAGCAAUAAAGAACAGUAAUCCCAGAAAGAUAGGAAAAAAAUGAGGUGACCCUCCAGCAGCCCCAGUUUACUGACUGGAGAGAGUUUCAGGAAACAGUACAGGGAGAGAGAACUGGGUAGGAUCUGGCAGUUUUGUAUGAGAUGAGGAGACAGAUCUUAGAAUCCAGAGAGAUCAACAAAACUAGAGGUUGCAAGGCAUAGUAUCAGAAGAGAGAGCCAUCCAGAGAAAUCUCUACAUCUGUAGAGAGUGCUAUUUGAAUCUUCAGCUGAGUUCAGAUCAGUGCAUUCAUGUGAGCGUAAGUAGCCAAAGGUGGAGGAAGAGCCAACCAAAAGGAUAAGAUGGAACACACAGGGUGAGAAAUGUUUUUUAUUCUAACCAUGCAGAGUGGAAGACCCCAUCAUUCACAGAACACUGGGUAGAAAAGUCAGAAAGAUUUUACCUCAGUAUUAGGGCUAAAUUAGCCCUACACUAAUCAUCACUCUUUUUCUUCCCAGUGAAGCUUAAACAUAGAUCUCAAAGGUAUCAAACUGUAUCCAUGUUUCUUAAUUGCAUCACAAAAAUAGGUCAAUAUUUAUUUAAAGGAAUACAAAUAUAGCUAACACAAAGUUAAAUUGACAAUAUCUAGCAUCCAAUCAAAAAUUACCAGGUAUGUAAAGAAAAAGGAAAAUAGGACCCAUUUUGAGGAGAUAAAUCAAUCCAUUGAAAUUGACAUGGGACAGGGCAUGGUGGCUAACACCUGUAAUCCCAAC